Molecule: ribosomal RNA, 414 nt
Filed under: uncultured prokaryote
Also listed under: 1 other name
Description: bacterial SSU rRNA
Rfam family: Bacterial small subunit ribosomal RNA
Source: RNAcentral
UAGGGAAUAUUGCGCAAUGGACGGAAGUCUGACGCAGCGACGCCGCGUGAGCGAUGAAGGCCUUCGGGUCGUAAAGCUCUGUCCUUGGGGAAGAAGGUCUUCGGACUUGACGGUACCCAAGAAGAAAGCCCCGGCUAACUACGUGCCAGCAGCCGCGGUAAUACGUAGGGGGCGAGCGUUGUCCGCAAUUACUGGGCGUAAAGGGUGCGUAGGCGGCCCUUUAAGUCAGAUGUGAAAGCCCGCAGCUUAACUGCGGAAUUGCAUUUGAAACUGGAGGGCUUGAGUGUCGGAGAGGGUAGUGGAAUUCCCAGUGUAGCGGUGAAAUGCGUAGAUAUUGGGAGGAACACCAGUGGCGAAGGCGACUGCCUGGACGAUAACUGACGCUGAGGCACGAAAGCUAGGGGAGCAAACAGG